RNAcentral lists this ribosomal RNA (793 nucleotides) under uncultured archaeon. RNAcentral describes it as "bacterial SSU rRNA". It matches the Rfam family "Archaeal small subunit ribosomal RNA", at positions 85 to 879 of the family's 1478-position model. The record is from RNAcentral.
ACUGCUCAGUAACACGUGGACAAUCUGCCCAAAAGUCUGGGAUAACCCCGGGAAACUGGGGAUAAUACCGGAUAGAUCACUUCUGCUGGAAUGCUUGGUGGUCGAAAGAGCAAUCGCUUUUGGAUGGGUCUGCGGCGGAUUAGGUUGACGCCGGUGUAACGUACCGGCGUGCCUGUAAUCCGUACGGGUUGUGGGAGCAAGAGCCCGGAGAUGGAUUCUGAGACACGAAUCCAGGCCCUACGGGGCGCAGCAGGCGCGAAAACUCUACAAUGCAGGCAACUGCGAUAGGGGGACAUCGAGUGGCACCCACCUUGGGUGUCUGUCCAACCGUCUAAAAAACGGUUGUUAGCAAGGGCCGGGUAAGACCGGUGCCAGCCGCCGCGGUAAUACCGGCGGCUCGAGUGGUGGCCGAUAUUAUUGAGUCUAAAGGGUCCGUAGCCGGCUUUGCAAGUCCCCUGGGAAAUCCAGCGGCUUAACCGUUGGUCGUCCAUGGGAAACUACAUUGCUUGGGACUGGGAGAGGUAGGAGGUACUCGAGAGGUAGGGGUGAAAUCCUGUAAUCCUUCGGGGACCACCGGUGGCGAAGGCGUCCUACCAGAACAGGUCCGACGGUGAGGGACGAAAGCUAGGGGCACGAACCGGAUUAGAUACCCGGGUAGUCCUAGCCGUAAACGAUGCCCGCUAGGUGUCACGACAGUCGUGAAUUGUCGUGGUGCCGUAGGGAAGCCGCGAAGCGGGCCACUUGGGAAGUACGACCGCAAGGUUGAAACUUAAAGGAAUUGGCGGGGGAGCAC